UUUUUUGGUACCAUGGAUAGAACCCAGGGACACUUAACCACGGAGCCACAUCCUCAGCCUUUUCUUUGUGUUUUAUUUUGAGACAGGGUCUCACUAGUAGCCGUUGCUACUAAUGGCUCCAAAUUGAAACUCUCCAAACCUGCACUAGCUAUUGGCAGCAUAGGCACUUUUCAUACUGACUCAUUUACCCUACAACAAACCUUGGGGUGGAUCCUCUUGUUAUCCCCACUAUUCAGAUGAGAAAAUUGAGGCUUAGAGAGGUCUCUCGACUUGUACUGGUGGGGUCAGGAUUAAAACCCAGACUGUCCUGUUCUUUAGCAGUUGACAUACAUGGUCAGGACUUCCGGGAUCCAGACCCAGCUUCAUCCCUGAGGCCUCAGGCAAAUCAUUACAAUUCCUGGAACCCCACUUUCUCACCCCUAAAAGGGGAAUAAGAAUAUUUCCCCUGUUUAUGUCCUAGCACUGUUAUAGGAAUCAUAUAUAAGGCAAUCCAAAUGGAGAGAAAGCAAGAGAACAGAGGAAGUCAACAUUCAUUAAGUACCUACUGUGUGCCAGGGCAGUCACAUGAUUUUUGUGGAUGAUGACUUAUCUCUAAUUCUGCAAGCAAGGAUAGAAACCCAGGAAGAAAGCAGGAGUCAAAGACCUCCAGGGGGCUGGGGAUGUGGCUCAAGCGGUAGCGCGCUCUCCUGGCAUGUGUGCGGCCCGGGUUCGAUCCUCAGCACCACAUACAAACAAAGAUGUUGUGUCUGCAGAAAACUAAAAAAUAAAUAUUAAAAAAAUUCUCUCUCUCUCUCUCUCUCUCUCUCUCUCUCUCACUCUCACUCUCUCUUUAAAAAAAAAAAAAAGACCUCCAGUGUCAGGAAGCCCAAGAGUCUGGAUUCCAACAGAGGUCUGUUUGUUUCCAAAAUGUUUGGUUUUUGUGUUGCUUUUUCUUUUUUCUUUUUGUUUUGUUUUUGUUCACCAGGAUGUCACAGGCAUGAAAACUAAUGACCCAUGUCCCCUUAGGCCUUUUGUCUUCUGGAAUCCUCAUUUGCUCCACGAGUUUGGGUGUGUCCUGACUCACUGGCCACAGAAAGACUGCAACUUCCCACUUCUGCACCAAAGCCCCUGCUUCUCACCCUGCUACCACCCCCACUGCUGCUGCCCCACAUGCUGCCAGACAGCCACAGAUGCUGUGUGGCUCUGGGCAAAGCCCUUGACCUCUCAGAUACCAGUAACCUCAUAUCUAAAUGGGGCUAGAACCAGCACUGAAGAUCUCCAUGGCAAAACUCAAAGCCUCUCCCUACCCUGAGGUGGCUGGCCUGCUGCACACACCUGGCUCGAAGCUCAGCUGCAAUCCUGCUGAAAUGUCUCCGUGCCCAGGUUGUCCUGAGGCUUCAUUGUUAAACACAGGUGGACACUUGUUGUCCUCUCUGAGAACAGUGGAUAGCUCAUUCUUGUGGUGACAGUAAAGAGCAAAUAUCCCAUAUUCAUCUCAUGCUGAUCUUCCUCACAGGGCUACCGGCAGCCAGCCUCCUCCAUCCGUCCAUCCCAACCAGCUGGCUUUGAAGCAUUGACUGCCCAUGGCAGAGCAAUGGCCCUUUAAGGGCAACACAGGGCACUGCUUCCCUGGCAGCAUGUUCAGCACACACGCUGUUCCUAGGGUGCGUAUGGUGGGAGCAGGAGGGUAAGAGUAUAAAGGAACGAGAUGGCCUCAUGGCAGAUUACAGGCAGGGGAGAGGAGAGAAAGACGGAGGGGGAAAGAGAAAGAAAGAACUGCUCAGUUAUGUGUUUGAAUGUGGUUGGUCCCCACCCCAAACCCAUGUCAAAAUGCAAUCCCCAUUAUGAGAUAUUCAGAGUGCAGACCAGGUGGGACCUUUAAGAGUCAAUUAGGAGCUGGGCAUGGUGGCCCAAGCUUGUAAUCCCAGCGGCUCAGGAGGCUCAUAAAUUCAAAGCCAGCUUCAGCAAUGGUGAGGCACUAAGCAACUCAGUGAGACCCUGUCUCUAAAUAAAAUACAAAAUAGGGUUAUGAUUGCUGUAUGUAUAUAGGUGACUCUAUGACCAGUGUGAUUCUGCAAUCUGUACAAUCAGAAAAAUGAGAAAUUAUACCCCAAUGAAUCAAAUGUAUGAAUUGCCAAGAUCAUUGUAAUGUCAUGGGUAGCUAAUAAAAAAUAAAUUAAAAAAAUAUGAAGGGUUAAAAAAAAUACAAAAUAGGGCUCAGUGGCUGAGUGCCCCUGAAUUCAAUCCCUAGUACCAAAAACCAGAAAACAAAACACAAGGCGAUUAGGGCUUUGCCCUCAUGAAUGGACUAAUCCAUUUACAUAAUUAAUGGAUUAAUGUGUUAUUUCAACUAUAAAAGUCAGUUUGGUUAGGUCUCUCACCAAGUGAUGCCCUAUGCCACCCUGGGACUCUGCCAGCAAGAAGGCCAUUGUCAGAUGUGGGCCCUUGACCUUGGACCAGGACCAUGAGAAAAAUAAACUUUUUCCUUUAUCAUUUAUAGAGGCUGAGAUGUUGUGUUAUCAGCAACAGAAAAUGCACCAUGACAACAGCCCUGUCUAGAAUUUGCUAUGUCAAGGAAAAAAAAUGUCAAUUUAACUAUUAAAGAGAGCCUCUUGAUGGGGAAUAAAUGAAGAUGGGGGGACACAUGUUCUUAAGAUUGGAAGGUGGGCACUGUGAGGUGUGCCUAUGGUUCUUGCCCUCGGGAGACUGAGGUAGAAGGAUCACAUCCCAGAAUUCCAGACCAGCCCAAGCAGAGAGACCCUGCCUCCAACAAAACAAAAACUUUAAAAUGCAGAUUGAAAGUGACUUUGAAAUUGAUGACUGGCUGACUCUAGGCCUUGAUCUAAUUUCGUAACAUCCCUGAGGUUUUUUAUAAGUGUCUGCAUGGUGCUGGUCCCUGGUUACAGACUUCUAUUUCAUCUUCGUAGCCAUCCUCUGAGUUGCUCUUAUAUUCAUGUUGUAGAAGAGAGUACUGACCCUCACAGAGUGGCUUUCCAAAGACCACAGAGUAAGUGCGGGAGAUGGGAUCCUCGCCAUUCUAACUCCAGAGUUUCACAAUGCUCAAUUCAGGCAUAGGAAAAGCCCCGCUAGGGCAGCUUGUGCUAUAAGGGCCGGGAGGGGUGGGGGGCAUUUCACAGUAAGAGGCCACAGAGCUUUAAUUUGUACUAUUUUUUUGUUGUUGUUUAGCAGACUGACCCAUUUGUUUUCAUUGCUUUAUUUUUAAUAUUGAAAGAUCUGAUUAACAAAUAGUCCAGACAUGGGAACAUUUCUUAAAAUCUGAUAAUCCAUAAAAUAUUAUAUUUUUGCCCGUUUGCUUAAUGCUUUUAAUGACAAGCAACUUGAGAGCUUAAAAAUGUAAUAUUAAUUUUUAAUACAAUUUUUCUACUUACAGACUUAAAUUUGCACACUUGUAGACUUUGAUUUUUUUUAAAAAAUUGGCAUUGUUUAUGAAAUGUCUCAGACCAGAUGUUACAAAUGUCUCUGAAAUGCAGUAAGCUCUCCUGUGAAACCUAUAGGGUACAAAAUAUGGGUACCAUUUCUCUCUCCUGCACUCUUGGGGAACAGACAGCCCUUGCAUUAUAUGAUGCCUUGGGGUGGGGAUAGUAUGAUCUUAUUUUUGUGUGUAUAUAUGUGUGUGUGUGUAUACACACACACACACACACACAAACACAAACAAAAAGGAAAGUCUGGGAGAAUGUAUGCCAAAACAUUGAUUUUGCUUACAUCAGGAUGGAGGGUGUUAUGGUUUGGAUAUGAGGGGUCCUCCAAAAUCUCCUAUGGUGAUUCAGGGAUGUUCAGAGGUGAAAUGAUUGGAUUGUGAAAGCUGUACUUUGGUCAAUCCAUCCUACAGUGAAUGGACUGACUGUCAGGUGGUAACUGUAGGCAGAUGGGGCAUGUCUGGAGGAGGCGGGUCACUGGGGGUUCAUCUUCCCUGUGGCCUCUCCCUCCCUCUACUCUCCUACUCUCUGCUUCCUGAACACCCCCCCCCCAUCCCCUGCCAUGAGCUAAGCAGCUUUGCCCUGUGGUCCCUUCCCCCAUGAGGUACUGCCUCACCUUGGGCCCACAGCAACAGAGUCAGCCAUCUAUGGGCUGAGACCUCUGGAAUUGUC
This 4088-nucleotide long non-coding RNA is filed under the name Marmota monax (woodchuck). Lineage: Eukaryota; Metazoa; Chordata; Mammalia; Rodentia; Sciuridae. The record is from RNAcentral.